UUAAACAAGAGAGUUUGAUCCUGGCUCAGGAUGAACGCUGGCGGCGUGCCUAACACAUGCAAGUCGAACGAAGUUAGACAGAGGAAGUUUUCGGAU
RNAcentral lists this ribosomal RNA (96 nucleotides) under Lachnospiraceae bacterium NLAE-zl-G231. RNAcentral's name for it is "partial 16S rRNA. Bacterial SSU". It matches the Rfam family "Bacterial small subunit ribosomal RNA", at positions 1 to 91 of the family's 1533-position model. The record is from RNAcentral. Lineage: Bacteria; Bacillati; Bacillota; Clostridia; Lachnospirales; Lachnospiraceae.